Non-coding RNA from Canis lupus familiaris (dog), 129 nucleotides. Lineage: Eukaryota; Metazoa; Chordata; Mammalia; Carnivora; Canidae. The record is from Rfam.
GUCUACGGCCAUACCACCCUGAACGCGCCCGAUCUCGUCUGAUCUCGGAAGCUAAGCAGGGUCGGGCCUGGUUAGUACUCGGAUGGGAGAACUUAGAGGAAAUGGCAACAUUCAGAGUAACCGUGAAGU